RNAcentral lists this ribosomal RNA (1032 nucleotides) under Loxothylacus sp. FW26. RNAcentral describes it as "eukaryotic LSU rRNA". It matches the Rfam family "Eukaryotic large subunit ribosomal RNA", at positions 645 to 1588 of the family's 3401-position model. Lineage: Eukaryota; Metazoa; Arthropoda; Thecostraca; Sacculinidae. The record is from RNAcentral.
UGACCCGUCUUGAAACACGGAUCAAGGAGUCUAACAUGUGAACAAGCGAUUGAGUUUUUGACUAAGCUCAAACGCAAAAUGAAAGUGAAAUACCGCUUGACAACCGGUAUGAGCGGAGAUCGUGCACUGUGUAUAUAGUGUACGCGCAUCCGCAGGCCACAUCUAUCGGCUAGCUUGUCCACUGGACACUGCCGGGAUGUGGACCAAGAGUUGACACGUUGUGACCCGAAAGAUGGUGAACUAUGCUUGGUCAGGAUGAAGCCAGGGGAAACCCUGGUGGAAGUCCGAAGCGAUUCUGACGUGCAAAUCGAUCGUAUGAACUGAGUAUAGGGGCGAAAGACUAAUCGAACCAUCUAGUAGCUGGUUCCAUCUGAAGUUUCCCUCAGGAUAGCUGGCACUUGAGGAAACGGAAUUUCAUCCGAUAAAGCGAAUGACUAGAUGAAACGGGCCGUUCAAUGGCUCGACCUAUUAUCAAACUUUCAAUGGGUGAGAGGUCUCGCUGUCUUUAGCGCAGCGUUGACUUUGAAUCCGAGUGCCCAGUGGGCCACUUUUGGUAAGCAGAACUGGCGAUGCGGGAUGAACCGCAAGUCGAGUUAAGGUGCCUAAACGAACGCACAUGAGAGACCAUGAAAGGUGUUGAUUGCUCACGACAGCAGGACGGUGGCCAUGGAAGUCGGCAUCCGCUAAGGAGUGUGUAACAACUCACCUGCCGAAGCAAUCAGCCCUGAAAAUGAAAGGCGCUAAAGCGUUCUACCGAUACUCGACCGUCGUUAGCAAGUGACAUGCACACCCUAUAUGUGUGUUGUGUCUCAAGCUGCGACGAGUAAGAUGGCGCGGCAGUGUGCUUGGAAGGUGAGGUCGUAAGACCAGCUGGAGCCGCUGUCGAUGCAGAUCUUGGUGAUAGUAGCAAAUACACAAGCAAGAUCCUUGUGGAUCGAUGUGGAGAAGGGUUCCGCGCGAACAGUAUUUGAACGUGGAUGAGUCGGCCCUAAGCCAACGGGUAAUUCCCGCAUCCUGAUGCAUAAAAAGGCU